CGGCGGAACACGUGAAAUUCCGUCGGAAUCCGGGAGGACCAUCUCCCAAGGCUAAAUACUCCCUAGUGACCGAUAGUGAACCAGUACCGUGAGGGAAAGGUGAAAAGCACCCCGGAAGGGGAGUGAAACAGUUCCUGAAACCGUGUGCCUACAAGUAGUUAGAGCCCGUUAAUGGGUGAUAGCGUGCCUUUUGUAGAAUGAACCGGCGAGUUACGAUUUGUUGCAAGGUUAAGCGGAAAAAGCGGAGCCGUAGCGAAAGCGAGUCUGAAUAGGGCGCAUAAGUAACAGGUCGUAGACCCGAAACCAGGUGAUCUACCCAUGUCCAGGAUGAAGGUAAGGUAAUACUUACUGGAGGUCCGAACCCACGCACGUUGAAAAGUGCGGGGAUGAGGUGUGGGUAGCGGAGAAAUUCCAAUCGAACUUGGAGAUAGCUGGUUCUCUCCGAAAUAGCUUUAGGGCUAGCCUCGAGGUAAAGAGUCAUGGAGGUAGAGCACUGUUUGGACUAGGGGCCCUUCUCGGGUUACCGAAUUCAGAUAAACUCCGAAUGCCAUGUACUUAUACUCGGGAGUCAGACUGCGAGUGAUAAGAUCCGUAGUCGAAAGGGAAACAGCCCAGACCACCAGUUAAGGUCCCCAAAUAUAUGUUAAGUGGAAAAGGAUGUGGGGUUGCUUAGACAACCAGGAUGUUGGCUUAGAAGCAGCCACCAUUGAAAGAGUGCGUAAUAGCUCACUGGUCGAGUGACCCCGCGCCGAAAAUGUACCGGGGCUAAACAUAUUACCGAAACUGUGGAUGAACCUCUUUAGAGGUUCGUGGUAGGAGAGCGUUCUAAGGGCGGUGAAGUCAGACCGGAAGGACUGGUGGAGCGCUUAGAAGUGAGAAUGCCGGUAUGAGUAGCGAAAGAAGGGUGAGAAUCCCUUCCACCGAAUAUCUAAGGUUUCCUGAGGAAGGCUCGUCCGCUCAGGGUUAGUCGGGACCUAAGCCGAGGCCGAUAGGCGUAGGCGAUGGACAACAGGUAGAGAUUCCUGUACCAGUGCUAAUUGUUUAACCGAUGGGGUGACACAGAAGGAUAGGGAAUCGCACGAAUGGAAAUGUGCGUCCAAGCAGUGAGUGUGAGAAGUAGGCAAAUCCGCUUCUCGCGAAGCAUGAGCUGUGAUGGGGAAGGAAAUUAAGUACGGAAGUUCCUGAUUUCACGCUGUCAAGAAAAGCCUCUAGGAAGAGUAGUACUGCCCGUACCGCAAACCGACACAGGUAGAUGAGGAGAGAAUCCUAAGGUGAGCGAGAGAACUCUCGUUAAGGAACUCGGCAAAAUGACCCCGUAACUUCGGGAGAAGGGGUGCUCUAUUAGGGUGCAAGCCCGAGAGAGCCGCAGUGAAUAGGCCCAGGCGACUGUUUAGCAAAAACACAGGUCUCUGCAAAACCGUAAGGUGACGUAUAGGGGCUGACGCCUGCCCGGUGCUGGAAGGUUAAGAGGAGUGCUUAGCUUCGGCGAAGGUACGAAUUGAAGCCCCAGUAAACGGCGGCCGUAACUAUAACGGUCCUAAGGUAGCGAAAUUCCUUGUCGGGUAAGUUCCGACCCGCACGAAAGGCGCAACGAUCUGGGCACUGUCUCAACGAGAGACUCGGUGAAAUUAUAGUACCUGUGAAGAUGCAGGUUACCCGCGACAGGACGGAAAGACCCCGUGGAGCUUUACUGCAACCUGAUAUGGAAUGUUUGUACCGCUUGUACAGGAUAGGUAGGAGCCGAAGAGACGUGUGCGCUAGCAUACGAGGAGGCAAUGGUGGGAUACUACCCUGGCUGUAUGACCAUUCUAACCCGCCACGCUUAGCGCGUGGGGAGACAGUGUCAGGUGGGCAGUUUGACUGGGGCGGUCGCCUCCUAAAGAGUAACGGAGGCGCCCAAAGGUUCCCUCAGAAUGGAUGGAAAUCAUUCGCAGAGUGUAAAGGCACAAGGGAGCUUGACUGCGAGACUGACAAGUCGAGCAGGGACGAAAGUCGGGCUUAGUGAUCCGGUGGUUCCGCAUGGAAGGGCCAUCGCUCAACGGAUAAAAGCUACCCCGGGGAUAACAGGCUUAUCUCCCCCAAGAGUCCACAUCGACGGGGAGGUUUGGCACCUCGAUGUCGGCUCGUCGCAUCCUGGGGCUGUAGUCGGUCCCAAGGGUUGGGCUGUUCGCCCAUUAAAGCGGCACGCGAGCUGGGUUCAGAACGUCGUGAGACAGUUCGGUCCCUAUCCGUCGCGGGCGCAGGAAAUUUGAGAGGAGCUGUCCUUAGUACGAGAGGACCGGGAUGGACACACCGCUGGUGUACCAGUUGUUCCGCCAGGAGCAUCGCUGGGUA
This 2334-nucleotide ribosomal RNA is filed under the name Listeria monocytogenes. Its description in RNAcentral is "partial 23S ribosomal RNA". It matches the Rfam family "Bacterial large subunit ribosomal RNA", at positions 415 to 2747 of the family's 2925-position model. The record is from RNAcentral. Lineage: Bacteria; Bacillati; Bacillota; Bacilli; Caryophanales; Listeriaceae.